CAGACCCUCAGUAAAGACAUUAACAGGAUUGCCCAGAAGAAACUUGGAGGGAAGAAAGAAUAGGUGAAUUUCGCAGGACAUGUGUGGUUGAACAAUUGAGCCAACAAAUGUAUAGCAUAAUUAGACACCCAUGCUUCAGGAUAUGUGUCAAAUUAAAGGGUGUACCCUGCCCCUUGCCCAAAGACCGCUGGACAUAGGCACGGAUGGAUACAUGGAUUUAAUUGAGAGAGCACACAGUAGAACUGUUAUGGCACAAUGCUGGCAGUGGAUCAAGUCAUUCGUAAAUAGAAAAUGUUAAACUUCCAACUGGAAACAAUUAAAGAGUAC
Molecule: long non-coding RNA, 327 nt
Organism: Girardinichthys multiradiatus
Lineage: Eukaryota; Metazoa; Chordata; Actinopteri; Cyprinodontiformes; Goodeidae
Exons: 3
Source: RefSeq, a predicted model, not a curated record